This 587-nucleotide ribosomal RNA is filed under the name Conus sulcatus. RNAcentral describes it as "partial 12S ribosomal RNA". The record is from RNAcentral. Lineage: Eukaryota; Metazoa; Mollusca; Gastropoda; Neogastropoda; Conidae.
UGCCAGCAGUCGCGGUUAAACCAAGGAAUUUAGUCAUUCUUUUACGGUAAAAAGACAGUUAGGCAGAAAUGAUAGAGUCAUUAGAUCCUUAGUAAAGGAGUAAAAUCUAUAUACUAAAAGUUAUACCUAAUAUGAUUUGUUUAGGAUGCUGAAUCUGUGAUAACUUUAAGGGAAACUGGGAUUGGAUACCCCAUUAUUUUUAGUUGUAAAUUUAGUUUAGGCUUACCAGAGUACUACGAAUAAAAAGUUUAAAACUCAAAGGGCUUGGCGGUGUUUUAGACCUCUCAGGGGAACCUGUCUCAUAAUCGACAAUCCACGUUAGACCUGACCUUUAAUGGUAAUACAGCCUGUAUACCGUCGUCGUCAGGUAACUUUUAAAAAUACAGGAGUUAGCUCGAGAAUUGCAUUAAUUAAGACGUCAGAUCAAGGUGCAGCUAAUGAAAAGGUGAGGAUGGGUUACAAUUAUAUAUUUAUAACCACGGAAAACACUUGAAAUGAAGUGUCUUAAAGGAGGACUUGAAAGUAAUUUUGAUUAUAUAAAUAAAAUGAAUAGGGCUCUGAAACGUGCACACAUCGCCCGCCACUCU